UCUAACGUUGUGGUCAGAAGA
Molecule: non-coding RNA, 21 nt
Filed under: Caenorhabditis elegans
Lineage: Eukaryota; Metazoa; Nematoda; Chromadorea; Rhabditida; Rhabditidae
Source: RNAcentral